UUCCUUCUGCUAGUAAUAGAAGGUACACCCUGCCCGGUGCCCUGCACUCAACGUGGGGUAAACGGCGGCCUUAACCUGAGGGUCCGAAGGUAGCAUGAUAAGUUGGCGUUUAAUUGGCGUCUGGGAUGAAUGGGCACACGUGGGAACGACUGUCUCUUGCCUAACAAUUGAAGCUAACCUGCAGGUGAAAAGGCCUACAUGUGUGAGAGGGACGACGAGACCCCACGAAGCUUUACGGUCGUGUUCAUAGGGGAUAAUCCAUAGCUAUGGCACAGAAGUUUUGUUGGGGCAACAGGGGGGAAAUGUUCUAUCCGAUUUAAUCCUAGUAUAAAAUCUGGGUUGGUGUAUCCUUUGUCAUACGUGAAAUAGCCACUAAUGUAGUGAAAACGAUUAAGUUACUCUGGGGAUAACAGCACAAUACCGUUAUAGAGUUCGUAUCGAGAACGGUGCUUGUGACCUCGAUGUCGGCUUAGGAUAACCUUGGUGGCGUAGAAGCUCCAAAGGGUUGGUCUGUUCGCCCAUUAAAAUCCUACA
Molecule: ribosomal RNA, 534 nt
Filed under: Botula cinnamomea
Lineage: Eukaryota; Metazoa; Mollusca; Bivalvia; Mytilida; Modiolidae
Description: partial large subunit ribosomal RNA
Rfam family: Bacterial large subunit ribosomal RNA
Source: RNAcentral